GUCUUCUUGACUGGAUAAUAAGAAGUCUGACCUGCCCAGUGAAAAAUUAUUUAACGGCCGCGGUAUUUUGACCGUGCAAAGGUAGCAUAAUCAUUAGUCUUUUAAUAGAGGGCUGGUAUGAAAGGUUUGACGAGGUGCUGACUGUCUCAUUUAAUUUGAAAUUAAAAUUUAACUUUUCAGUCAAAAGGCUGAAAUAAUAUUGGAAGACGAGAAGACCCUAUAGAGCUUUAUAUUUAAUUUAUUAAUAAUUUUUUGGAUAUUAAUUUUUAUUAUUAAUUUAAGUAUUUUGUUGGGGUGACAAAAAUAUAAAAUUAACUUUUUUAUCUAUUAAACAUUAAUUUAUGGUUAUUAGAUCCAAUCUUAUUGAUUGUUAGAAUAAGUUACCUUAGGGAUAACAGCGUAAUCUUCCUCCAGAGUUCAUAUUUACAGGAAGGCUUGCGACCUCGAUGUUGGAUUAAGAUAAUAAUUAGGUGUAGCCGCUUAAUAUAUAGGUCUGUUCGACCUUUAAAUUCUU
Molecule: ribosomal RNA, 514 nt
Filed under: Tanypteryx pryeri
Lineage: Eukaryota; Metazoa; Arthropoda; Insecta; Odonata; Petaluridae
Description: partial 16S rRNA
Rfam family: Bacterial large subunit ribosomal RNA
Source: RNAcentral